GACGAACGCUGGCGGCGUGCCUAAUACAUGCAAGUAGAACGCUGAAGGAAGGAGCUUGCUCUUUCUGGCUGAGUUGCGAACGGGUGAGUAACGCGUAGGUAACCUGCCUGGUAGCGGGGGAUAACUAUUGGAAACGAUAGCUAAUACCGCAUAAAAUUGAUUAUUGCAUGAUAGUCAAUUAAAAGGUGCAACUGCACCACUACCAGAUGGACCCGCGUUGUAUUAGCUAGUUGGUGGGGUAACGGCUCACCAAGGCGACGAUACAUAGCCGACCUGAGAGGGUGAUCGGCCACACUGGGACUGAGACACGGCCCAGACUCCUACGGGAGGCAGCAGUAGGGAAUCUUCGGCAAUGGACGGAAGUCUGACCGAGCAACGCCGCGUGAGUGAAGAAGGGUUUCGGAUCGUAAAGCUCUGUUGUAAGAGAAGAACGAGUGUGAGAGUGGAAAGUUCACACUGUGACGGUAUCUUACCAGAAAGGGACGGCUAACUACGUG
Molecule: ribosomal RNA, 497 nt
Filed under: uncultured bacterium
Lineage: Bacteria
Description: partial 16S ribosomal RNA
Rfam family: Bacterial small subunit ribosomal RNA
Source: RNAcentral